AAUUCUGGACAUUGGGGGAAACCCUGCUCCAGCCAUCCCGCGUGUAUGAAGAUGGCCUUCGGGUUGUAAAGUACUUUUGGCAGAGAAGAAAAGGUACCUCCUAAUACGAGGUACAGUUGACUGUAUCUGCAGAAUAAGCAUCGGCUAACUAAGUGCCAGCAGCCGCUGUAAUACGUAUGGUGCAAGCGUUAAUCGGUAUUACUGGGCGUAAAGCGUGUGUAGGCGGUUCGAAAAGAAAGAUGUGAAAUCCCAGGGCUCAACCUUGGAAGUGCAUUUGUAACUGCCGAGCUAGAGUAUGUCAGAGGGGGGUAGAAUUCCACGUAUAGCAGUAAAAUGCGUAGAUAUGUGGAGGAAUACCGAUGGCGAAGGCAGCCCCCUGGGAUAAUACUGACGCUCAGACACGAGAGCGUGGGGAGCAAACA
This 422-nucleotide ribosomal RNA is filed under the name uncultured bacterium. RNAcentral's name for it is "partial 16S ribosomal RNA". It matches the Rfam family "Bacterial small subunit ribosomal RNA", at positions 360 to 774 of the family's 1533-position model. The record is from RNAcentral.